AGUGAACGCUGGCGGUAGGCCUAACACAUGCAAGUCGAACGGCAGCACAGUAAGAGCUUGCUCUUACGGGUGGCGAGUGGCGGACGAGUGAGGAAUACAUCGGCAUCUACUUUUUCGUGGGGGAUAACGUAGGGAAACUUACGCUAAUACCGCAUACGACCUACGGGUGAAAGCAGGGGAUCUUCGCACCUUGCGCGAUUGAAUGAGCCGAUGCCGCAUUAGCUAGUUGGCGGGGUAACGGCCCACCAAGGCGACGAUCCGUAGCUGGUCUGAGAGGAUGAUCAGCCACACUGGAACUGAGACACGGUCCAGACUCCUACGGGAGGCAGCAGUGGGGAAUAUUGGACAAUGGGCGCAAGCCUGAUCCAGCCAUACCGCGUGAGUGAAGAAGGCCUUCGGGUUGUAAAGCCCUUUUGUUGGGAAAGAACAGCAGCAGGUGAAUAUCCCGCUGUUCUGACGGUACCCAAAGAGUAAGCACCGGCUAACUUCGUG
RNAcentral lists this ribosomal RNA (492 nucleotides) under uncultured bacterium. RNAcentral's name for it is "partial 16S ribosomal RNA". It matches the Rfam family "Bacterial small subunit ribosomal RNA", at positions 29 to 507 of the family's 1533-position model. The record is from RNAcentral.